CGGAGCUAACGCGUUAAGUCGACCGCCUGGGGAGUACGGCCGCAAGGUUAAAACUCAAAUGAAUUGACGGGGGCCCGCACAAGCGGUGGAGCAUGUGGUUUAAUUCGAUGCAACGCGAAGAACCUUACCUACUCUUGACAUCCAGCGAACUUUCCAGAGAUGGAUUGGUGCCUUCGGGAACGCUGAGACAGGUGCUGCAUGGCUGUCGUCAGCUCGUGUUGUGAAAUGUUGGGUUAAGUCCCGCAACGAGCGCAACCCUUAUCCUUUGUUGCCAGCGAUUCGGUCGGGAACUCAAAGGAGACUGCCGGUGAUAAACCGGAGGAAGGUGGGGAUGACGUCAAGUCAUCAUGGCCCUUACGAGUAGGGCUACACACGUGCUACAAUGGCGCAUACAAAGAGAAGCGACCUCGCGAGAGCAAGCGGACCUCAUAAAGUGCGUCGUAGUCCGGAUCGGAGUCUGCAACUCGACUCCGUGAAGUCGGAAUCGCUAGUAAUCGUGGAUCAGAAUGCCACGGUGAAUACGUUCCCGGGCCUUGUACACACCGCCCGUCACACCAUGGGAGUGGGUUGCAAAAGAAGUAGGUAGCUUAACCUCCGGGAGGGCG
Molecule: ribosomal RNA, 605 nt
Filed under: Pantoea sp.
Lineage: Bacteria; Pseudomonadati; Pseudomonadota; Gammaproteobacteria; Enterobacterales; Erwiniaceae
Description: bacterial SSU rRNA
Rfam family: Bacterial small subunit ribosomal RNA
Source: RNAcentral